AUGAGAAUCUAAUGCCUGAUAGUCUGAGGUAGAGCUGAGUUGACAAUGCUAACACUGAGGAGUGGCUGCAAAUACAUAUGAAGAUUUGCUUGCUCGCCCUCCACUCACUUCCUGAUGUGUGGCCCCGUUCCUAACAAGCCACGGACUGGUACCCAUCAUAGCCUGGGAGCUGGGGACCCCUGUGGUACAGGGCAGAAGCCAUGGACUUUAGGGGAUUACUAUGGGCUUGGACAAUGAUGCCAACAGCAAUCAAGAUGAACUAGAGAUUAGCUUCUCCCAAGAACCAGUACCAUGUACGAAAGCGCAUUCACAUGCACACACACACCCCCAAAAAACCCAGGCAACACCUCCUGCAUUCUAGUAUGUCCUUAAGAGAGGAAGAAAGCCCCUUUCAGUGACUGAGAUGGGAUUUCUGUUUAGAGUCACAAAUUACGUUAAUUGAAAUAUUUGAAUAGUUUGUACCUGAAACAACUAGCCUGGUGCCCACAUUUUUGUCUAGUGGCUAUAGCCUUCUCUCAAGCCUGCUAGCCCAUUCCUUAGCCCCAGUUUUACUUCCAGGCUUUGGAAUUAGACCUUAGGUUAAGUCUAGGUUCUAUUACUAGCUGAGUAACCCUGGAUGUUACUGUACUUUUCUGCAUCUGUUUCUUCAUCAGUAAAAUGAUACUCUUCCUCACAGGAGUUGUAGGAGACUGAAAUGGAAUAAUAGGAUGGUUUUCAAACUAUGUCCUGGAGAACUUCAAAUCAAUCUAGUGUUUUCCAAACUUCAUUCGCAUCCCAUCUUCCCAACCUUCGGGCAUAUUGCGCACCCACUUCUAUUAUUAUAUACUUAAUCGUGUCUUUUAAAAAUAUCAACUCACUUUUCAAUGGAAAUGAUUUAUUGAAAAAGGAAAUACCUUAAAAAACAGAAAUAUCUAUCGCUUACCUUAGAAUAGCAACAAAAUCAAAACAAUGCUAUUCAACUUGAACUGCCUAUGGUUACAGGCCAAAGCUCUGAGCUCAAAGACUGGAUUUUGUUUUGUUUUGAACUUUUUUCUUUGUUUUUUUGAGACUGGGCUUUGUUUAAAAAAAUGAUCUCGUUCACAAAAACCCACACAUGGCCUUAUAUGAAAUGUCUAGAAUAGGCAAAUCUAGAGAGACAAAAAGUAGAUUAGUGAUAGUUCAGAGCUGGAGGUGGGAGGUUUGGAUGGGGAGUGACUAUUAAGUAUGGUUUCUUUUGAGGGUGAUGCAAAUGUUCUAAAAUUGACGGUGGUGACAGUUACACAACUCUGUGAAUACACUAAGAGCCACUGAAUCAUACAAUUUAAAUGGGUGAACUGUAUAGUGAGUUAUAUCUCAAUAAAGCUGUUCCUAAAAAGAACGAUGUUAAAUAUGAUUCUUGCUACUUGAGGUAAAUGAAGGAAUGCAAAGACAUCUAAACCAGGACCACUAUUAUUUAACUGAGCUAGGUUUGUGACACGUCCCACCCCAAUCAUCUCCCAGUGGUAAGCUUUUGCCCUUUUGAGAAAGGAUUUAGUGGUAAGCACUCAAUGUUAGCUAAUAUUCCCCAAAACAGAUCUGCCUGACAAGUCAGACAAACCUGGGUUUACAGUCCUCCCUACUCAGCCACUGACCAGCACUGACUGGAGAAAAUCGCCCUGAGUCCACUUUCUUACCUGUAAAAUGUGGAUAAUAGCAUCUGCUUCAGGAGUUUGCAAUAAGGGUGAGAAGAGAUAAACAGGUACCGCUCAUGACACAUAGUUCUCUCUCAAUGGUGGCUCUUAUCAGAAAUGUCCUUAGACUACUGGAGCACCCGCGCUACAACUCAAAGGAUGUGGUUGUGAAUUAGGCCUCUGCCUGGACUAGAUAAGCUAGCAGGAAAGCAUGCCUUAGCUAUUCUGGGUCCCAGUUCCCUUGACUGUAAAAUGGAGAUACUGAGGAUUCCAAGGUGCCAGUAAUUUGAAGAAACCGACUGUCUUCAGUCAGCCCUGUGAUACUGACGCCCAGAGGGGCUCAGAGGCUGCCCACCAUCCAGACUGCUAGUCCGGAACUGGGGUGUGGGGGGCGGGGACUACGUCGGCAGGAGCCUCGCCGACAUGCGCCUCACAGCCGCCGCGGCGCAGGCAGGGCCGUAGCCAGGCAGCUUCCGGCGCGCCGUCCCGCUGGGCUAACCGAGCGCUCCGGCCGGCGCGCAGGUCACGCCAAAGAAUGCAGCUCGGGAGCCUGCACUCCUUUGGCGAGAGGGCGUCCGGCGCCGGAAGUCCGCCCGCACCCUCUCUAGGACGCCCGCCCCCGGCCCUCGGUGCCCUUAACCCUUACCGCACCGCGGCGCGCCCUCCUCGCGCUGGGCGGUUUCCAGCGCGCUGCCCUCCUUUGUUUCCCGUAGCUUCACACAGGCUGUGAGCGGCCUGACCCUUCUCUACACCACAGCUGCCUCCCAGAGCUGAUUGGAGGUACAAUGGAGGGGACCAGCAGAAAAGCCACUGUCAACUGAAAAUCAAUAGACAAAUGUAAAAGAGUGAAAAAGCAAUCCUAGUCAAAUCCAAGUCUAUGGAAUACAACCCAGCAACAGAAAGUCACGAACUGCUGACCCAAGAAACAGUAUGGACAACUCUCAAAAACACUAUGCUAAGUGAAAGAAAACAGAUGCAAAAGAGUACAUACUGUAUAAUUCCACGCAUACGAAGUUCUACUGCAGGUUAACCUAAUCGAAACCCAAAUCAGAAUAAUGGUUGCCUCUGGGAAGCGGGGUUGGGAAGGGGCAACAGGAAACUUUCAGGGAGGGUAGCGAUGUAUUUGAUAAGGGCUUAUGCACAUGUAUGCAGUUGUUGAAACUCACCCACUCAUAGUAGACACCUCUGCAUUUCACUGUAUGGAUAUUUUGCCUCAAGAGAAAAUAAAAACAAACAUAAAUAAAUAA
Pteropus alecto (black flying fox) is the source of this 2896-nucleotide long non-coding RNA. RefSeq lists it as uncharacterized. The transcript is spliced from 3 exons. The record is from RefSeq and is a predicted model, not a curated record. Lineage: Eukaryota; Metazoa; Chordata; Mammalia; Chiroptera; Pteropodidae.